AGGGCAGGCAGGAGCAGCUCUGGAGCCUCCUUCUACCUCUGUCCCCAGGACAGUUGGAGACAGUGGCAGCAGUGGAGCACAGUCAAGUGAAAGAGGGGAGUGCAUCCACACCACUGCACCCACCUGGAUCCAAUCCCUUGAGAGCACAGUGCAGUACCUCUUUGGUCUAUCUCCUGUAGUACAAGAAGCUGAUGAACAGAGGAUUGUCAUUUCAGCACUAAGGCUUUCAAAAGAAGUGAAAUGCAAGUACCGUAAAUACUAAUUAUUUUCAGGAAUGCUAGAAAAAUGGAACUAGAAAAAAGCAAUCAUCCACGCUCCUGUUCAAAAUAAUAACUUAAACACUUGAGAUUUCAGAGAGCAUUAUGUUUGUUGUUUUUCUAUUUAGUACUGUGCAUGCCAACAUAGUCUUGCAUUCACAAAUGAUUUGCUAGGUAUCAGCUCCAAUAAUCUUAAAUCAAGCACAACGGGUACAUUCAGUUAACCAUACUUAGAGAAUCUCCCUCUCAAGAUCAGUAGUAGUGGCUAUGACUUCAGUGACCAAAUGCAACUUAUUCUUGUCUCCUCCUGGAGUGUACAGCCAGGAUACCCAGGUGGAAAUGGGAAGCAGAGGCAACGGAGCUAGCUUGUAGGAACACUUCUGGAUAAUCUUUGCAUUAGAGAGCUGGUGGCUCUUAUUACUUUUAGAAGAGAAACUGCAGCAAGAGAGACCAGGCAGUGGCAAAAACCCUGCUGCCCAGUCAGUCAGGCAAGAGGCCCAUCAGGGUAAAGGGUUGCACCUGUUGUUAGUCAAGUGCUCUCUGCCUACAGCUUGCUCACUGCAAAGGAAUAGGCCAUUGGAGACCUAAGGCCAUGGCUACUUAAUUGGCUCUUAAGGCAAUGAGCACAAAUACCUGUGUUCACGGGAGGAGAUCUGACUUGGGAAACUUUAGAGAAACCUCUCUUUUUCUAAAAGACAGUAACACCAAGGUGUGGCAUGUGAGUGAAGGGGGAGCGCUGAAGAAAGACUGCCUAGGCAAGGGCUGAGCAGCCACUCAGACGUCAUGGCCACCCCCUGGGGCAAGGCCUUGCUACACUGUUAGAGCACCACAGUGACCAUUAACACAGCUGGGUCACUGCUAUGGCUCAUCUUAACUAUUAAGGACUCCUUGCUUUCUGUCUCUGUGCGUUUGUUUAUGUGUGUAUUUAUUUUUACUGGAGAUUACUUAUGCACGUGGUUCCCAAAUAUUUGGGACCAAUGGACCAUUGCCAACCCUCCAAAUUUCUUCUGGGCCACUUCUUACCUUUAGCAUCAAACUUUUGAUCAAAAAGGCAGAGGGGGCAGCUCUGGACCACUUACCAUGGCCUUGAGGACCAUUCAUGAUUUGCAGAGUACAACUGAAAAACUACACUUACAUCAAUGGCAGCUCAUUUCUAAUUACUGAGGAGGAGGUGGAGUCCUUCUGUAUAGUUUCUUUUUUCAUUUAACUACAAGAUCAUAGAACGCAGGAUCAGUGACAGUAAUAAUUUAAGUGGAAACAAGUCUCCAACAAAUAAUUUAUGUUCAUCUUGCUGUUCUACAUGGCAUGAAUAAAUGCCCUCAGUAUAGGACAAGAUAUGUGUAAUAUUGUUUUGCAUAUUAAAAAGACCUAUGGUUU
This is a long non-coding RNA of Alligator sinensis (Chinese alligator), 1634 nucleotides long. RefSeq lists it as uncharacterized. The transcript has 3 exons. The record is from RefSeq and is a predicted model, not a curated record. Lineage: Eukaryota; Metazoa; Chordata; Crocodylia; Alligatoridae.